AGAGUUUGAUCCUGGCUCAGGACGAACGCUGGCGGUGUGCUUCACACAUGCAAGUCGAGCGAAUGAAGUAGGUAGCUUGCUACUUAUGGAUUUAGCGGCGGACGGGUGAGUAAUAUAUAGGAAUCUGCCUUAGAGCGGGGAACAACAGACCGAAAGGUUUGCUAAUGCCCCAUAGGUAUGCAGUCUUCGGAUUGUAUAUUAAAGGAGUAAUCCACUCUAAGAUGAGCCUGUAUCCGAUUAGCUAGUUGGCGGGGUAAAGGCCCACCAAGGCUACGAUCGGUAGUUGGUCUGAGAGGAUGAUCAGCCACAAUGGGACUGAGACACGGCCCAUACUCCUACGGGAGGCAGCAGUGGGGAAUUUUACACAAUGGGGGAAACCCUGAUGUAGCGACACCGCGUGAACGAAGAAGCCUUUUGGGGUGUAAAGUUCUGUCGGCUGGAACGAAAAAAAUGACGGUACCAGCAAAGGAAGCAUCGGCUAACUACGUGCCAGCAGCCGCGGUAAGACGUAGGAUGCAAGCGUUGUCCGGACUUAUUGGGCGUAAAGAGUUCGUAGGCGGUUAUUUAAGUCUGGUGUUAAAUACUGUGGCCCAACCACAGAACUGCAUUGGAUACUGGAUGACUUGAGUGCGGUAGAGGCGAGUGGAAUUCCCAGUGUAGCGGUGAAAUGCGUAGA
Molecule: ribosomal RNA, 676 nt
Filed under: uncultured bacterium
Lineage: Bacteria
Description: bacterial SSU rRNA
Rfam family: Bacterial small subunit ribosomal RNA
Source: RNAcentral